RNAcentral lists this unclassified non-coding RNA (280 nucleotides) under Leohumicola sp. RNAcentral's name for it is "partial contains 5.8S ribosomal RNA, internal transcribed spacer 2, and large subunit ribosomal RNA". The stretch from base 1 to 71 matches the Rfam family "5.8S ribosomal RNA", at positions 84 to 154 of the family's 154-position model. Lineage: Eukaryota; Fungi; Ascomycota; Leotiomycetes. The record is from RNAcentral.
GUGAGUCAUCGAAUCUUUGAACGCACAUUGCGCCCCUUGGUAUUCCGAGGGGCAUGCCCGUUCGAGCGUCAUUAUAACCCCUCAAGCUAGGCUUGGUGUUGGGGCCUGCUGUUACCGGCAGCCCUUAAAAUCAGUGGCGGUGCCAUCUGGCUCUAAGCGUAGUAAUACUUCUCGCUACAGGGUCCUGGUGGAUGCUUGCCAUCAACCCCUAAUUUUCUAUGGUUGACCUCGGAUCGGGUAGGGAUACCCGCUGAACUUAAGCAUAUCAAUAAGCGGAGGA